CUACGGGGUGCACCAGUGAGGAAUAUUGCACAAUGGAGGAAACUCUGAUGCAGCAACGCCGCGUGGAGGAUGACGCAUUUCGGUGUGUAAACUCCUUUUAAGAGGGAAGAUUAUGACGGUACCUCUUGAAUAAGCACCGGCUAACUCCGUGCCAGCAGCCGCGGUAAUACGGAGGGUGCAAGCGUUACUCGGAAUCACUGGGCGUAAAGGGUGCGUAGGCUGGCUUCUAAGUCAGAUGUGAAAUCCAAUGGCUUAACCAUUGAACUGCAUUUGAAACUGGGAGCCUAGAGUUCAGAAGGGGCAGAUGGAAUUAGUGGUGUAGGGGUAAAAUCCGUAGAUAUCACUAGGAAUAUCAAAAGCGAAGGCGAUCUGCUGGGAUGAUACUGACGCUGAGGCACGAAAGCGUGGGGAGCAAACAGGAUUAGAUACCCCAGUAGUC
Molecule: ribosomal RNA, 439 nt
Filed under: uncultured bacterium
Lineage: Bacteria
Description: partial 16S ribosomal RNA
Rfam family: Bacterial small subunit ribosomal RNA
Source: RNAcentral